Molecule: microRNA, 22 nt
Filed under: Blattella germanica (German cockroach)
Lineage: Eukaryota; Metazoa; Arthropoda; Insecta; Blattodea; Blattellidae
Description: Bge-Mir-252-P1_3p* (star (passenger))
Source: RNAcentral
GUCUGCGCAAUUCUACUUAAAC